GCCAGACGUGGUGGCGGGCGCCUGUAAUCCCAGCUACUCAGAAGGCUGAGGCAGGAGAAUUGCUUGAGCCAGGGAGGCGGAGGUUGCAGUGAGCCGAGAUUGUGCCACUGCACUCCAGCCUGGGCGACAGAGUGACANGUCGCUCAGGCUGGAGUGCAGUGGCGCGAUCUCGGCUCACUGCAAUCUCCAACUCCCGGGUUCACGUCAUUCUCCUGCCUCAG
Molecule: signal recognition particle RNA, 221 nt
Filed under: Chlorocebus sabaeus (green monkey)
Lineage: Eukaryota; Metazoa; Chordata; Mammalia; Primates; Cercopithecidae
Description: Metazoan signal recognition particle RNA
Rfam family: Metazoan signal recognition particle RNA
About the family: The signal recognition particle (SRP) is a universally conserved ribonucleoprotein. It is involved in the co-translational targeting of proteins to membranes.
Source: Rfam by way of RNAcentral